UAUUUCCCUUCUUCCUUCCCAAAAGGUCUCAGCUUUUCGUGGAUCCGGGGCUUGGCUUGUACGUCCGCCCCCAGGAUUGGAAGGUCAGGGCUCUACAGCCUCAAGUCUAUGGAGGGUGUGUACUUAUCCUGUGGGCAGAGCUGUGUGUGCAGCCCCGAUUGGCUUCAGGGCUGAGAUUUUACAAGACAGCUGGUUAGUCCCAGAGCUGCUGCGACCAUUUGCGGCCACCCGAGGACAAAGUCUGUGCUGAAGGCUGCAGGAUGGAGAGACAAGAAGCACCAAAAUGCUCUGAUAGGUGGGGUCCCUGGACCACUAACCUGCAGCCUGCCCUAC
This 333-nucleotide long non-coding RNA is filed under the name Capra hircus (goat). RNAcentral describes it as "lncRNA (ENSCHIG00000007251.1)". The record is from RNAcentral. Lineage: Eukaryota; Metazoa; Chordata; Mammalia; Artiodactyla; Bovidae.